UACGGAGGGUCCAAGCGUUAUCCGGAAUCAUUGGGUUUAAAGGGUCCGCAGGCGGGCAAUUAAGUCAGGGGUGAAAUGGUGCGGCUCAACCGUAGCACUGCCUUUGAUACUGGUUGUCUUGAGUUAUGGUGAAGUGGCCGGAAUAUGUAGUGUAGCGGUGAAAUGCAUAGAUAUUACAUAGAACACCGAUUGCGAAGGCAGGUCACUAACCAUUAACUGACGCUGAUGGACGAAAGCGUGGGGAGCGAACGGG
This 253-nucleotide unclassified non-coding RNA is filed under the name uncultured Flavobacteriaceae bacterium. Its description in RNAcentral is "contains 16S-23S intergenic spacer region". It matches the Rfam family "Bacterial small subunit ribosomal RNA", at positions 524 to 776 of the family's 1533-position model. The record is from RNAcentral. Lineage: Bacteria; Pseudomonadati; Bacteroidota; Flavobacteriia; Flavobacteriales; Flavobacteriaceae.